CAGUAGCCGCGGUAAUACGAAGGGGGCUAGCGUUGCUCGGAAUGACUGGGCGUAAAGGGCGCGUAGGCGGCUGUUACAGUCAGACGUGAAAUUCCUGGGCUCAACCUGGGGGCUGCGUUUGAUACGUGAUGGCUUGAGUUCGGAAGAGGGUCGUGGAAUUCCCAGCGUAGAGGUGAAAUUCGUAGAUAUUGGGAAGAACACCGGUGGCGAAGGCGGCGACCUGGUCCGAUACUGACGCUGAGGCGCGAAAGCGUGGGGAGCAAACAGGAUUAGAUACCCCCGUAGUCCCUGUCUCUUAUAC
This 301-nucleotide ribosomal RNA is filed under the name uncultured bacterium. RNAcentral's name for it is "partial 16S ribosomal RNA". It matches the Rfam family "Bacterial small subunit ribosomal RNA", at positions 509 to 807 of the family's 1533-position model. The record is from RNAcentral.